GCAAUAAUAAGUGCAGUAACAACAAUAGCUACAGUAUUUUUUUAUUUUAUUUUUUAACUCCUUUAUAAUGUUUUUUUGUAUACAUAUGUAUUUAUACAUAUAUUUUUUAAUUAUUUAAAGGAAAACAAUGAAAUUAUAUUAUGUGUGGGUAAUAGUCUUAACUGCUGUAAUUUUAAAAUUUUUAAAAUGUGUGACUAUUCUGUGUCAGUGUUGUUACCACUUACUAAUAUAUGUAAAGAUUGCUAUGGUAAAAAAGAAAAAACAAAUCCAUUUGAAGAUAAUACUACCAAUAAAAAUAUGUUAAUUACAUAUUCUUCGACCGUUAAUAGCUUACCAUGUAAAUUGACAAUUGAAAAAAGUUCUAUAGAUUUAUCACAGAACAUACUAGAGCUAGUCUAUAAAUUAUUAAAAGGGUCAAGGAUAUAUAAAAAAAACAUAUCCUUAGCAUUGUUUUAUUUUCACUUUUUUUAUUCCUAUCUUUCUUUUUUUUUAUUUAUUAUUGCCAUUUGUUUCUUGCCACCUAUUAUAGCGGUUGUUGAUUAUUUAUUGUUUAUUUUUAUAAUAAUACCAGUACUUUCGGUGAUCCUCUUAAACAAUAACAACAAUUCUACAAUAAUGAACGACAUUCCAGAUAAAAAUAUAAAAAAAGAUGCAGUUAUUAAGUCUUUGGUAAAAAAUAAAAAAAUAAAAAAAAUUAAAAAAAUAAAUGAACGAACAAACGAACACAAACAUGAGCUUAAAGAGCUGAUAAUACUGUGUUUUUAUAUUACCUACGUGCUUGUACAAAUUUUUUAAUAAAUAUAGAAUGUGUGUGUUUAUAUCUUCCAUACAUAUACAUGUUUGCUUCUAUUUUUUCAUUCACGAGUUCGUUUAUUUAUUUUAUUUUAUUUUAUUUAUUCUUUAUUAUUUAUUCUUUAUUAUUUAUUAUUUAUUAUUUAUU
This 940-nucleotide long non-coding RNA is filed under the name Piliocolobus tephrosceles (Ugandan red Colobus). Its description in RNAcentral is "lncRNA (ENSPTEG00000003675.1)". The record is from RNAcentral. Lineage: Eukaryota; Metazoa; Chordata; Mammalia; Primates; Cercopithecidae.